Molecule: ribosomal RNA, 463 nt
Filed under: uncultured bacterium
Lineage: Bacteria
Description: partial 16S ribosomal RNA
Rfam family: Bacterial small subunit ribosomal RNA
Source: RNAcentral
AAUCAACGCUGGCGGCGUGCCUAACACAUGCAAGUCGCACGAGAAAGGGUCUUCGGAUCUGAGUAAAGUGGCGCACGGGUGAGUAACACGUGAAUUAUCUACCUUCGAGUGGGGAAUAACUUCGGGAAACCGAGGCUAAUACCGCAUAAUAUCUACGGAUCAAAGCAGUAAUGCGCUUGAAGAGGAGUUCGCGGCAGAUUAGUUAGUUGGCGGGGUAAUGGCCCACCAAGACGAUGAUCUGUAUCCGGCCUGAGAGGGCGCGCGGACACACUGGAACUGAAACACGGUCCAGACUCCUACGGGAGGCGGCAGUGGGGAAUUUUGCGCAAUGGGGGAAACCCUGACGCAGCAACGCCGCGUGGAGGAUGAAGUCUCUUGGGACGUAAACUCCUUUCGAUAGGGAAGAUUAUGACGGUACCUAUAGAAGAAGCCCCGGCUAACUUCGUGCCAGCAGCCGCCGUAA